This 526-nucleotide ribosomal RNA is filed under the name uncultured bacterium. RNAcentral's name for it is "bacterial SSU rRNA". It matches the Rfam family "Bacterial small subunit ribosomal RNA", at positions 984 to 1509 of the family's 1533-position model. The record is from RNAcentral.
ACAUCCAGAGAAUUUAGCAGAGAUGCUUUAGUGCCUUCGGGAACUCUGAGACAGGUGCUGCAUGGCUGUCGUCAGCUCGUGUUGUGAAAUGUUGGGUUAAGUCCCGNAACAAGCGCAACCCUUAUCCUUUGUUGCCAGCACGUAAUGGUGGGAACUCAAAGGAGACUGCCGGUGAUAAACCGGAGGAAGGUGGGGAUGACGUCAAGUCAUCAUGGCCCUUACGAGUAGGGCUACACACGUGCUACAAUGGCGCAUACAAAGAGAAGCGACCUCGCGAGAGCAAGCGGACCUCAUAAAGUGCGUCGUAGUCCGGAUUGGAGUCUGCAACUCGACUCCAUGAAGUCGGAAUCGCUAGUAAUCGUAAAUCAGAAUGUUACGGUGAAUACGUUCCCGGGCCUUGUACACACCGCCCGUCACACCAUGGGAGUGGGUUGCAAAAGAAGUAGAUAGCUUAACCUUCGGGAGGGCGUUUACCACUUUGUGAUUCAUGACUGGGGUGAAGUCGUAACAAGGUAAGCGUAGUGCU